Long non-coding RNA from Limulus polyphemus (Atlantic horseshoe crab), 351 nucleotides. RefSeq lists it as uncharacterized. The record is from RefSeq and is a predicted model, not a curated record. Lineage: Eukaryota; Metazoa; Arthropoda; Merostomata; Xiphosura; Limulidae. The transcript has 3 exons.
UAACCAAUGUUCUAUCUUUGUUUGCAGUGGAAUUAAACGGUCAGCAAACUUCGCCUCCACUACUAACUCAGGCUCUAUCAGUAAUCAACAACUACGUCCCUCAAGGGUUUGCUCCGCCCACUUCUCCAGCCACCAACCGUGGAUGGGCUGCUACCAACAGCCCAGGACCCAUUGAGCUCUAUAGUUCCAAUCAGGACAGCGUAGGCUAUGUACAGACUACCAGCCCACAGCCCUCAGGCUUCCCACAUAUUGCUGUAAGUAGGGGUCCCCUGAUAGCAGCGGCUUUUACAAAUGGUUACCAUUGAGUUAAGGUACUAAGGGGCCUGGUACCGGCUGGUGGUGCAAGGUAGG